UCAGUCUUCCCAGGCCCACCACUUUCAUCGAGUGAGCAUUCGUCUUCUGGUUACGGGGCCAUAGCUCAGCUGGGAGAGCGCGUGCUUUGCAAGCAUGAGGUCGUCGGUUCGAUCCCGUCUGGCUCCACCAGAUGGUUUGAUCACCUGCGACUGACCGUCGUCCGCGAAACAUCACUUCGCAUUCACUAGUCUGGAUAGACAGUGAACUGCGUGUUUUCUGACAUCGUAAAGAGGAGAUCGAUCCGAGUUGGGUCGUGCAGCAGAUUGUUGCGCGGAUCCUUCAUUAUCUCCGGAUCAUUUUCGGCGCUCGCUUUCAGCCGUGAGGCUGAACGCGAGUUGUAAAAUGAUCCUUUUAGCGAAGCUUGACCGCCUCGCUAUCGGAACGAUCUUACGAAGCAAGCUGGUCUUUCUAGUCAAUGUCCGGCUGUGAGAAUAGCGCUCGUCGAGGGCGCGUGCCGCAAGGCGGUUCUUACAGGCAGCAUUCUGCCGAGUGUGUGGACAUUGAUAAUGAGAGCAAUCAAGUGCCUUAAGGGUGUUCGGUGGAUGCCUUGGCGCUGAGAGGCGAUGAAGGACGUGCUACGCUGCGAUAAGCCGUGGGGAGCUGCGAAGAAGCUUUGAUCCGCGGAUUUCCGAAUGGG
This 638-nucleotide unclassified non-coding RNA is filed under the name uncultured Bradyrhizobium sp. RNAcentral describes it as "partial 16S-23S ribosomal RNA intergenic spacer". The stretch from base 516 to 638 matches the Rfam family "Bacterial large subunit ribosomal RNA", at positions 1 to 122 of the family's 2925-position model. The record is from RNAcentral. Lineage: Bacteria; Pseudomonadati; Pseudomonadota; Alphaproteobacteria; Hyphomicrobiales; Nitrobacteraceae.